Odontomachus brunneus is the source of this 1101-nucleotide long non-coding RNA. RefSeq lists it as uncharacterized. The record is from RefSeq and is a predicted model, not a curated record. The transcript is spliced from 2 exons. Lineage: Eukaryota; Metazoa; Arthropoda; Insecta; Hymenoptera; Formicidae.
CCAGACACUAUCAAUUUAGGAUCCGACCAGUCGCAGCAGAGAACUUUAUCCACGUGACCUGUGAGAUCGUACAGCGGCACUUUGGGACUACGAGGGAAUAAGAAGCAUAUUAAGAUUCUGUUAAUUUUUACUGUCAUUUAAUGCGUCAAAGUACCUGAAGACCUCGGAUCGUAUAGCUUCAGACGGUUAUCAGACGACGGCGCUAUCACAGCGCGUGCCAACGGUGAAUAGUCUACGUCGAAAAAGGGCUCAUUGCCGGGGAUUUCGUGCUUGAUACCGCCCAGUUCGGAGUCCCAAAUCUUCAGAGUGUGGUCCCAGGACGCCGUAAUGAUCUCCAUCUUAUCAGACCACACGAGACCGCUGAUCGCACCUUUGUGUCCUGCUAAGGUACGCUGCGGAAGCUGCGCCCAACGCGUUUAGGCACAUCAAUUAAUCAUUCUUUACAUGUACACUUAUAAAGCUCAAUCAAAGUAUUCUUAAAUUUACAGACUUUAGUCUACAUACUCUCGUUUUACUCCGUUUCGCUUUUAUCCUUUUCGACGCGGGUUCCGUAUUUUCUGUUUCAUUCUGCGUAGCUUGAGAGGAAAUUUCGUGAUUAAAUUUUAAUUUUAAUUAAAAAUGUCUUAUGAAAAAAAAGAGCUUACAAAUUUGAUAUUAGUUAGUCUACUUACAUGUUGACCAUAUUUUCAGCAUCGUGUCCCAGCCGCCAGUGGCCAUUUGUGUUUGGUCGUGAUUCAAACCAAGCGCCAGAAUACUCCUCUCAUGUCCUUCGCAGAUGUACACGCAUUCCACGGAAUUUUUUACGAUAUUCCAAUUCCAUAUCAUGGCCGUUUGAUCCUCUGACGCGCUAUAGAGGUAUACAUUCAAUUGAUUAUUAUUAUUAACUAUAUAUUGCUACAUUCAACGAAAUUGACUUUAUCAUUCUUGAAGCUACCUGACGAAGGAAGCACUGUCGUCAUUCAGAGAGAGCCAUGCCACUGCUUUGAUGGCAGAUAUGUGUCCAGGAAUUACUAACCGAUGUUUGCCCCUUGUCGUCCAAAUGUGCAGAGUAUUGUCAUAAGAGCCAGUUAAAAUCCUGAAUAAAACAAUUUAAAAUAUUAA